GCUGCUUAUUUGAUGAUUGACCACUAAAUAAAAACUUGUAUAGUACUUCAAAUAGACUUCAGUGGCACCUUGGGGUUCAGAGAGACUGCUGCUAGAGGGGGAUCCAACCCUGUCAGAGGCACGACAAAUGAGGAAUUGAGAUCCACUCAGCAUGCAAUCCCCUGGUUCGAAAAGAGAAAAACAUGUUACUGCCUUUUUGUGCUCCUUCAUGUCCAGGACAAGUGUAGCUGUUUGUCCCUUUAUGUCCCAUACCUAUUUAAUGAACACAAACACAACCACAAUCAAAUAAUUUCUUUUUAUUCUGAACGGGAAGCAGCUGAGGACUCCACAUUCAGUUAUUACCUUUACCAGAAGCAUAAUUAUAGAUGCAUAGACAAGCUAAAAGUCUUUCUUCAAGCUCCAAUCCAGGAUGCAAAAAUUGCUCAACCGCAGUUAGUAAGAUUUCACAUGCAGUAUGUCUCAAGUUAUCUUGCGUUCUUGCAAUUCCGCAUCCAACCCAUGCAAUGAUUGUAAGGCAUUCUCGAGAAACCUUCUUUAUCUCGCUGUUUAAUCCUGUCUUCAAAGCAUGAAAUACAGGCUCUCCUGUUUUAGUAACACUUCUAGCAAUCUUUUCGCACCAUGUAUCUGUAGCGGAGUCCUGCAACCCCAUAUGGAUUUACAAUUAUGUCUACAUAUGAAACCUUAACGGCCUGUUUGGAUUGGGGAAUUGUGAAAAAUAAACAUGAUGUUUGUCUCUCCUCCCAAAUCACUUGUUUGGAUAGCUUGAUGUCAUAGCGAAAACGAGAGGAAUCUUUUCCCUUAACCUGCAUUUUAAGUCUCUCCAAGAUUGGAGAGAUCUGUAGAAAAUGACAAGGAGUUUGUUUUUGCCACUUUUGUCCCUACUCUUUACCACAACUGGUUUCAGUUUUUACCUGUCUUACUCAUAUUUUUGUCUCCAACUUUCCCAAACAGGAGGAGAGGUUAAGAAAAUCUUUUCUCUAAAAUCCUCUCCUAAACCAUCUAACUAUCUAAGCAAGAAGGAAAUCAGUUUUCCUUCUUUUUUGUCUAUUUUCUUCUCUUUCCUCUACUCUAUAUCCUUUCUUUUUCUUUUCUCUUCUAGUUUAUCAAGCCGGGACGUUGGGGCUGUGUUUGGAUCAUGGAUUGUUGGGGGCACGUAUGGAGGGAAAGGAAAAGGUGCCGGAAAGAUAACAAGAUAACGGACUGGAGAGUCAGGAUUUAUUUUUUUGGUUUUCCUAUCAUUUCCUUUCCUUCGUCAAAUCCCAUUACGAUCCAAACACAGUUGAACUCUAGAAAAUAGGUUUAACUGUUUAAACUAUGCUAAACUGUUUUUUUUUUUUUUUUUUUUAUCACCACUCACCUGUAGUGUUGGAUCCAACCAGUUGAAGUUUCUUAUCAUAUUCCUGUGAUGCUGAGUGGCCAAACCUGUCUUUUUUAGCAACCAUGCUACUGUAUAUGGUUCCCCUGUCCAGGCAUAUGUUCCACCAAGGUUUGAUAGAAGAAAUGUUGACAAUUGCUGUGUAGCAGAAUUCUCUACAGAGGUCAAUGGCUCGGCGAGGGCCUCCACAGCUUCUUCUGUAUAUGUACUCUUACCUGCUAUGUGUCUUUACCUUGGCAUGCAAAGGAUUUCGUUGAAAAAUUCGAGGGCAAUGAACUUGGCUCGCUCCUGGUUACUUCUUAGGAGAGAGAGAAAUGGUCCCACAGGAGCAGAUUUUGAAAUAUAUUUUCUGCAUUGCCCAUCAAACCGCAUGCAUUUCACAAGAAUGGUGGCUAAAGAAGUGAAGUCUUCCAUAUUAUUAUUUCUUGGAGCAUUCAGUAGCCCAGAAAGGACUCGUGGUGAAUUAAUUGCAGCCAAAUGCAUGUUAUUGGUUCCAUAGUCAAAUGAAGUUACUAAAACUUCAAUAAUCAUCAAUGACGCCGCAGGAGGUGUUGGCAGAAGUGAUGCUAAGCCUCCCUUGUACCUCUUUGAAGUGGACACAACCUCCACAAGUGUCGGAAGAAGUUCCAAAGUCUUUAUUGCUGCUGGAGGUGGAUUGAUUAGAUAAAUUAGAACUGCUGCCUCGUGCACAUUUCUUUUUAGAGCACUUGCUAAAUUGCACAAAGGUUUCCAGGAGCACGAGGCAGUGAUAUUGCAAACUCUGGACCCAAUUUGGAGCAAGGUGCCACCUGCUUCCUUGUAUAAAAGAAAUGUUAGUGGAACGAGAAAGUGAGUCAAGGCUUACAUUGCGGUAACUUAGCAAUCUCUUUUCAUAUUCUUGUACAUUUGAAGAUUCUGUGCCAGUGGCCUUUCUGUUCCUGUCCAGAAGCAUUGGGCAAAAGAUGAGAACUCACAACUGAAGCGGUACCAAAGGAGAGCUUACUCAAAAAAUUGCGAGUCAUCAUUGGCUAAAGCAAUAUCUCCGCAUCCAGAAUUUCUCUUUGGUAACUCUCCAUAUGACAUCACCUGAUAAUAUGUCAACCAGGCCUUGUAUCUCCUCGCCAUGUCUGCGGUUUUCUCACCCAUCUCACCCUCAUCAAAAUCCACCAACACUUCAGAUUUCAAACUCCUUCCUGCCAUUUCCCGCCUUUCAGAAGCCAUGCACGAAACAAAAAGACUCUCGCAUAGCUUUGGCACAAACUGUGUCCAAACAACUCUCGGGGAGACCAAAACAGCUUGGAGAAGAUGUAAGGCGACCUGCCACUCAUCUCCUUGGAGUUUCCUGACCAGACACAGGUAAAAAUAGGAGGAGGAAACCAGGUACCGGUUUGGAAUUCCCGCGGUGACUCCGUUUUCAUCGAGCAACGCUGGGACUUGAAGCAUUUGCUCUGAAUUCUUCAGCCUCAAUGAUUUUUCCUCCCCGCAUUUCGACUGAACAGCCGCCUCAAUACUCUCUAUUCCCCAGUACAGAUUUGACAGUGUAGAUUGCUCUGAGAAUUCAAAGAAUUCCGUCUUUUGGAUAUUCAGCUUUGAAGUGCAUUUCAAUUUCGCAGAUUUCCUGGUUUGGGAGUCUCUGAGGAACUCAUUGAUGUGUUGGUUGACUGAAGCAACAAUUACCCGUAUCGAUUCGAUAUUUGGUCUAUCUUUGUCAUGAGAAGAAACCAGAAAAGAAGAGGAAGAAGAGGUGGAAGCCAUUGAAUUGUGGGGAAUGUUGAGCUCAUGAAGAUGUUGUAGCAGAAGAUAAGAAAGGGGAGGAGGGUGACAUCACAAUAUUGCAGCAUUUUUGGAGGCUAGGGCCAUUGGCUCGUGACUGAAAUUGGGCAGCUUCCAAAUUUGUUUUGGUCCCUCUCUAUUGCUCUCUUGAUGCUACAGACAAGAAUUUGAAAGGUUUUUUUACUUGUUUCCCUCAGAGAAGGGGAGCCUGUGCUGAGAAAACAAACAAACACAGAUUUAUUGACUUUCAGCAACGGAGGUGUCCGGGCCCGCUCACGCUCACUUCAACCAAUUUUGGAGGCCCAAUCUCACCGCUCACUUGCUGAGAGUCCAAUUAAAGCUGGAUCAAAGCUUCGUAUUGACUGGCCCUAAAGGACUCAGCAAUACCUGGAAAGUUUCAAACCUGAGACCUUAGGAGGCUUUGGCGUAUCAGCUAUAUUUCGAUUCAUCCUUUUUUUUCAAGGGUUUCAUAAUUGGACGUUGAACCCAUUUCAUAUGAUGGGAGUCCUACAUUUUAUUUACAUAAUUUAUUCGAAAUUAUCCGAUAAAAUAAAAA
This is a long non-coding RNA of Rhododendron vialii, 3683 nucleotides long. RefSeq lists it as uncharacterized. The transcript is spliced from 8 exons. NCBI's taxonomy places the organism in Eukaryota, Viridiplantae, Streptophyta, Magnoliopsida, Ericales, Ericaceae. The record is from RefSeq and is a predicted model, not a curated record.